This 100-nucleotide ribosomal RNA is filed under the name Salmonella enterica subsp. enterica serovar Dublin. Lineage: Bacteria; Pseudomonadati; Pseudomonadota; Gammaproteobacteria; Enterobacterales; Enterobacteriaceae. The record is from RNAcentral.
CUGUGGUCCCACCUGACCCCAUGCCGAACUCAGAAGUGAAACGCCGUAGCGCCGAUGGUAGUGUGGGGUCUCCCCAUGCGAGAGUAGGGAACUGCCAGGC